This 1346-nucleotide long non-coding RNA is filed under the name Equus caballus (horse). Its description in RNAcentral is "lncRNA (ENSECAG00000048195.1)". Lineage: Eukaryota; Metazoa; Chordata; Mammalia; Perissodactyla; Equidae. The record is from RNAcentral.
GGUAGAGUCUGGAGGAGAGUUGCAGAGACACUCAAGUCCAGGGGGAAGGAGAAGUCGGCGCCGGCCUUAGGAAAGGCUGAGAAACGGGAACGGAGAGACCGGGAGCGGGGGACGGGAGGGCUGAGAAAACGGGAGGAGAACAAGUGGAGAAGGACACAGAGACGAGGAGCCAGAGCCUUCACGGGAGGCAGACGGAAGCCCCACCUUACCAGCUCUGUGACAGCGGGCAAAUUACUUCAUGUCUCUGGGCCUCAAUCUUCUCAUCUGCAAAAUAGGAGGUGAAGGUGGAGGAGAGUAAUCCUGUCCCCGGGGCUUUGCUUUUCUCCCUUCAUCCGCCCCUGCCCCCUUCCCUGCUCUGGCCGGCUCUGUGUCUGGGAGGUUGACCGCUUGGCCUUUGUCCCUGGGCCCCGUGGCCAGCGGGUGGCCGUUGGGCAGCACCCACUUACAGGAGCUCUGGGGGAAGAAGAGGAGCCGGGGUACUCGUUCCCCUGCUUUGGCCCCUCCUGUCCCGCCAUGACUGCAGCUUCGCAAACACAGCAUCUGCCCCUUGCCCUGUCUGCCCCGGGGGUCACCAUGACUUCCGGCCCAUGCUGGUGCCACACCACCCCCCUCUGAUCCCCUUCACCUGCCGGCCCGGCUGUAGCGAACCCUUACAUCAGUGCCUCUUGAAGCUCCGGGUUGGGGUGCAUUUUCCCCGGGGCCCUGUCGGGUCAGCACAGCACUGGUCACCGUCCAGCUCCUGCCUUCCGGGGUGGGGGUGCGGAGAUGGUGACCCUCAGGGAGUGAUGCCAACACUGAGGAGCACUUGGGGACCUCUUAGCUCUUUAAGUCCUCACGUGAAGCAGGUGUGGGGUUAUUUGCCUCUCUGAGAUGAGAAACAUGAGGCUUGGGCAUUUAAGCAGCAUCACUAUGGAAUAAGAGCAGUGAGGGGGCUGUUUCCUCCGUGUGACAGGCCAGGUCAGAGGGGCAGCUGUGAAUGACAAUAAUAACAAUAGUAGCUAAAAUGUGUUAAUAUUUCCCGACUGCCAGACACAGUUCAUAUAUACUUUAACAUAUGCUUCUUAAUUCAUUUAAUCCUCACGACAACCCUAUCAGGUGGCUGCUAUCCUUAUUGCCAUUUUACAGUUGUGGUAACGGAGGCGCAGAGGGGUUGAGUAACUUUCCCACGGCCACACAGCAGAGCUGGGCUGGAACACCGUCAGUCUAGCUCCAGAUCUGCCACUCUCACCCCUUCCUAGGUACCCCUUUGGGUCCCUUGAGGAGGGGCAGGCAGGGUGAGCAUCCUGCAUUCCAGGCAGUGUAGACAGCAUGGGCAGAGCCUUGGAUAGGAAGGAGCUCUUGUGGUG